CCUGGGAUCAGCCUUCUCUACACACAUGGAGCCCCUGGGGAUAGGUCUCACCUUGCUGGUGAUGAUGCAGACCCAGGCCCAAGGCCCAAGAAGGCAUGAAGGGCUUCCUCAAGCCCUGUUGCCCAACAUACCUUUUCACAAGAUCUGUCUUCUGCCCAGCCUUGGGAAGGAGACAGUCACUAUGAACCCUGGCCAGGCAGGCCCAGUUCCCAUGGGUAGGAACAAGAAAUGGGAAGCGCAGCCCAAUGGCAACCCUGCACAGACUUCACAUUCCCCGGUGGCCCUCAAGACCGUCCAGGAGCCCGGCAUAUGAACACUGGGUCAACAGAGCCAGGACCUCCUCAGAUUCUGGGAAGGCUAGAAGACCGUCAGAGUUGGCUGACUGUGGAAGGCUCGGCUCUCAUCACGUCCCAACUAGACCCACAAUGUCCCUGCUCACUCAGCCCCAACACAAUAAAUGCCU
This is a long non-coding RNA of Mus pahari (shrew mouse), 463 nucleotides long. RefSeq lists it as uncharacterized. NCBI's taxonomy places the organism in Eukaryota, Metazoa, Chordata, Mammalia, Rodentia, Muridae. The transcript has 3 exons. The record is from RefSeq and is a predicted model, not a curated record.